UACGUAGGGGGCAAGCGUUAUCCGGAUUUACUGGGUGUAAAGGGAGCGUAGACGGACUGGCGAGUCUGAUGUGAAAGGCGGGGGCUCAACCCCUGGACUGCAUUGGAAACUGUUAGUCUUGAGUGCCGGAGAGGUAAGCGGAAUUCCUAGUGUAGCGGUGAAAUGCGUAGAUAUUAGGAGGAACACCAGUGGCGAAGGCGGCUUACUGGACGGUAACUGACGUUGAGGCUCGAAAGCGUGGGGAGCAAACAGG
This 253-nucleotide ribosomal RNA is filed under the name Blautia obeum. RNAcentral's name for it is "partial 16S ribosomal RNA". It matches the Rfam family "Bacterial small subunit ribosomal RNA", at positions 524 to 776 of the family's 1533-position model. The record is from RNAcentral. Lineage: Bacteria; Bacillati; Bacillota; Clostridia; Lachnospirales; Lachnospiraceae.